UACGUAGGGUGCAAGCGUUGUCCGGAAUUAUUGGGCGUAAAGAGCUCGUAGGCGGUCUGUCGCGUCGGCUGUGAAAACUCGAGGCUCAACUUCGAGCUGUCGGUGGAAACUUUCUGGCUAGAGUCCGGAAGAGGAGAAUGGAAUUCCUGGUGUAGCGGUGAAAUGCGCAGAUAUCAGGAAGAACACCCGUGGCGAAGGCGGUUCUCUGGGACGGUACUGACGCUGAGACGCGAAAGCGUGGGGAGCGAACAGG
RNAcentral lists this ribosomal RNA (253 nucleotides) under uncultured bacterium. Its description in RNAcentral is "partial 16S ribosomal RNA". It matches the Rfam family "Bacterial small subunit ribosomal RNA", at positions 524 to 776 of the family's 1533-position model. The record is from RNAcentral.